GGAGUUGUGGCUCAGUGGUAGAGUGCUUGCCUAGCAUGCAUGAGGCACUGGGUUCAAUCCUCAGCACCA
RNAcentral lists this transfer RNA (69 nucleotides) under Marmota monax (woodchuck). It matches the Rfam family "tRNA". Rfam says of the family: Transfer RNA (tRNA) molecules are approximately 80 nucleotides in length. Their secondary structure includes four short double-helical elements and three loops (D, anti-codon, and T loops). Lineage: Eukaryota; Metazoa; Chordata; Mammalia; Rodentia; Sciuridae. RNAcentral also lists the same sequence under 1 other name. The record is from Rfam by way of RNAcentral.